CCUAGUAACGGCGAGUGAGCGGCACAGCUCAAAUUUGAAAGCUAGCCUUCGGGUUCGCAUUGUAAUUUGUAGAGGAUGCUUUGGGGUGGCCGCCUGUCUAAGUUCCUUGGAACAGGACGUCAUAGAGGGUGAGAAUCCCGUAUGUGACAGGAAAUGGCGCCCUAUGUAAAGCUCCUUCGACGAGUCGAGUUGUUUGGGAAUGCAGCUCUAAAUGGGAGGUAAAUUUCUUCUAAAGCUAAAUACCGGCGAGAGACCGAUAGCGCACAAGUAGAGUGAUCGAAAGAUGAAAAGCACUUUGGAAAGAGAGUUAAAAAGCACGUGAAAUUGUUGAAAGGGAAGCGCUUGCAAUCAGACUUGUCUUUAACCGUUCGGCCGGUCUUCUGACCGGUUUACUCGGUAAUCGACAGGCCAGCAUCAGUUUCGGCGGUCGGAUAAAGGCCUUGGGAAUGUGGCUCUGCCUUCGGGUAGAGUGUUAUAGCCCAGGGUGUAAUACGGCCAGCCGGGACUGAGGUCCGCGAUUCGUCUAGGAUGCUG
Molecule: ribosomal RNA, 534 nt
Filed under: Dothichiza pithyophila
Lineage: Eukaryota; Fungi; Ascomycota; Dothideomycetes; Dothideales; Dothioraceae
Description: partial large subunit ribosomal RNA
Rfam family: Eukaryotic large subunit ribosomal RNA
Source: RNAcentral